RNAcentral lists this ribosomal RNA (392 nucleotides) under uncultured bacterium. RNAcentral's name for it is "partial 16S ribosomal RNA". It matches the Rfam family "Bacterial small subunit ribosomal RNA", at positions 523 to 918 of the family's 1533-position model. The record is from RNAcentral.
CUACGUAGGUGGCAAGCGUUAUCCGGAAUUAUUGGGCGUAAAGAGGGAGCAGGCGGCAGCAAGGGUCUGUGGUGAAAGCCUGAAGCUUAACUUCAGUAAGCCAUAGAAACCAGGCAGCUAGAGUGCAGGAGAGGAUCGUGGAAUUCCAUGUGUAGCGGUGAAAUGCGUAGAUAUAUGGAGGAACACCAGUGGCGAAGGCGACGAUCUGGCCUGCAACUGACGCUCAGUCCCGAAAGCGUGGGGAGCAAAGAGGAUUAGAUACCCUAGUAGUCCACGCCGUAAACGAUGAGUACUAAGUGUUGGAUGUCAAAGUUCAGUGCUGCAGUUAACGCAAUAAGUACUCCGCCUGAGUAGUACGUUCGCAAGAAUGAAACUCAAAUGAAUUGACGGGG